RNAcentral lists this ribosomal RNA (468 nucleotides) under uncultured bacterium. Its description in RNAcentral is "partial 16S ribosomal RNA". It matches the Rfam family "Bacterial small subunit ribosomal RNA", at positions 36 to 507 of the family's 1533-position model. The record is from RNAcentral.
UCCUCCCUCUUUCUUCGUGCUUAACACAUGCAAGUCGAACGGAAAGGCCCUGCUUUUGUGGGGUGCUCGAGUGGCGAACGGGUGAGUAACACGUGAGUAACCUGCCCUUGACUUUGGGAUAACUUCAGGAAACUGGGGCUAAUACCGGAUAGGAGCUCCUGCUGCAAGGUGGGGGUUGGAAAGUUUCGGCGGUUGGGGAUGGACUCGCGGCUUAUCAGCUUGUUGGUGGGGUAGUGGCUUACCAAGGCUUUGACGGGUAGCCGGCCUGAGAGGGUGACCGGCCACAUUGGGACUGAGAUACGGCCCAGACUCCUACGGGAGGCAGCAGUGGGGAAUAUUGCACAAUGGGCGGAAGCCUGAUGCAGCAACGCCGCGUGCGGGAUGACGGCCUUCGGGUUGUAAACCGCUUUCGCCUGUGACGAAGCGUGAGUGACGGUAAUGGGUAAAGAAGCACCGGCUAACUACGUG